GUGGUUAUGGGGGUCCCUCACUGAUCCUAUAUUCAUGGGGUGGCUGUGGGGGGUCCCUCAGUGAUCCCAUAUUUAUAGGGUGGGGGUUAUAGGGCUCCCUCCGUGUCCCCAUAUGUAUGGGGUGGUUAUGGGGUUUCCUUGGCUGCCCCCAUAUCUAUGGGGGGGGGGGUUGUGGGGUGCCCCUCAUUGACCCCAUAUCUAUGGGAUGGUAGUUAUGGGGUGUCCUUCAGUGCCCCCAUACCUAUGGGGUGGAUGGGGUGGCUGUGGGGGGUCCCUCAGUGACCCCAUAUUUAUAGGGUGGGGGUUCUGGGGGUCCCUCAGGAUCCCCAUAUCUAUGGGGUGGUUAUGGGGUGUCCCUCAUUGCCCCCAUAUCUAUGGGGUGGGGGUUUUGGGGUCUCUCAGUGUCCCCAUAUCUAUGGGAUGGUAGUUAUGGGGUGUCCUUCAGUGCCCCCAUAUCUAUGAGGUGGCUGUGGGGAGUCCCUCAGUGACCCAAUAUUUAUAGGGUGGGGGUUCUGGGGGUCUCUCAGCAUCCCCAUAUCUAUGGGGCGGGGGUUAUGGGGUGCCCCUCAUUGACCCCAUAUGUAUGGGGUGUUUAUGGGGUUUCCUUCACUGCCCCCAUGUCUAUGGGGUGGGGGCUAUGGGGUCCCUCAUUGACCCCAUAUCUAUGGGGUGGUUAUGGGGUUUCCUUCACUGCCCCCAUAUCUAUGCGGUGGGGGUUUUGGGGUCCCUCAUUGACCCCAUAUGUAUGGGGUGGUUAUGGGGUGCCCCUCAUUGACCCCAUAUGUAUGGGGUGGUUAUGGGGUGUCCCUCAUUGACCCCAUAUGUAUGGGGUGGUUAUGGGGUGCCCCUCACCGCCCCCUAUGUUUGGGGUGCUGUUGUGGGGUUUUGUUUGCGAUCCCACAUUUGUGGGGUUUCCCCGCAGGAACUCGGAGUCGGUGACGUAUUUCUGGCAGAACUGGAACAUCCCCGUGCACAAGUGGUGCCUCAGGCACUUCUACAAGCCGAUGCUGAAGCGCGGUGUGAGCAAAUGGACGGCGCAGACCGCCGUGUUUCUGGCCUCCGCCUUCUUCCACGAGUAUUUGGUCAGCGUGCCGCUGAAGAUGUUCCGGCUCUGGGCCUUCAUGGGGAUGGCAGCGCAGGUACGGAAAUUUGCGUCCAUAUUACGGCCCUAUAACGGCCCCAUAGUGACCCUAUAAUGACCCCAUAGUGGCCCUAUAAUGGCCCCAUAUUGACCCUACAGCAGCCCUAUAACGGCCCCAUAAUGGCACCAUAGUGAACCCAUUCUGGCCCUAUAAUGGCCCCAUUGAGUCCCCAUGAUGGUCCUAUAAUGGCCCCAUAAUGACCCCUAAUGGCCCCAUAGUGGCCGUAUGAUGGCCCCAUAGUGACCCCAUAAUGACCCUAUAAUGGCCCUAUAAUGACCUUACAAUGGCCCCAUAGUGGCCCUAUAAUGGCCCUAUAACGACCCCGUAAUAUCCCUAUAAUGGCCCUAUAACGGCCCCAUAAUGAUCCUAUAAUGGACCCAUUGUGUCCCCAUAUUGACCCCAUAAUGACUCCAUAGUGGUCCUAUAAUGGCCCCAUAUUGACCCUACAACGGCCCUAUAACGGCCCCAUAAUGGCACCAUAGUGACCCCAUUCUGGCCCCAUUGUGUCCCCAUAAUGACCCUAUAAUGACCCUACUGUGUCCCAAUAAUGACCCCAUAAUGACCCCAUUGUGUCCCCAUAACAGCUUCAUUCUGGCCCUAUAAUGGUCCCAUUGAGUCCCCAUGAUGGUCCUAUAAUGGCCCCAUAAUGACCCUGUAAUGACCCCAUAAUGGCCCUAUCAUGGCCCCAUUGUGUCCCCAUAAUGUCCCCAUAAUGACCUCAUAAUGGCUCCAUAGCGGCCCCAUAAUGACCCUACAAUGGCCCCAUAGUGACCCCAUAAUGACCCUAUAAUGGCCCCAUAAUGAACUUACAAUGGCCCCAUAGUGGCCCUAUAAUGGCCCUAUAACGACCCCAUAAUAUCCCUAUAAUGGCCCCAUAACGGCCCCAUAAUGGCCCCAUUCUGGCCCCACUGUGUCCCCAUAACAGCUUCAUUGUGUCCCCAUAAUGACCCCAUUGUGUCCCCAUAACAGCUUCAUUCUGACCCCAUUAUGGCCCCAUUGAGUCCCCAUAAUGGUCCCAUAAUGGUCCCAUAA
Long non-coding RNA from Phasianus colchicus (ring-necked pheasant), 2174 nucleotides. NCBI's taxonomy places the organism in Eukaryota, Metazoa, Chordata, Aves, Galliformes, Phasianidae. The record is from Ensembl.